AUAUAUAUAUAUAUAUAUAUAUUCUGAAUCGUAUUAAAGGAUUCAACUGCGACGCAGAUAGUGGAUAAUUAUAUCGUAAAACUCUCUUUUCAACGUUCCUUCCGUUUCAUAUUAUUUAGGCGAAUUUACAUAAUCGCACUUAACCACCCACCACUAAAGUCCAUUUCAUUUCAUUUAAAACGCUACAACUUAAAAAAAUAAAAAAAAAAAAAACGCGAUUUGUAAGUUUCACCUGCUGCGUUAUAAUACUGGUUGUUAAUUCCUGUUUGGGUCUCCUUCUCCUAACAGUUUCUACGCCUUAUUCGUAGGGGGGUUUUUUUUCACGUGACCGAAGCCUUCUAUUGAUUCCUUCGUAGAAGAGGGUGCAUGCGCACCCUCGUCGAUUAUCACUUUCAUCCCUCUCUCUCUCUCUCUCUCUCUCUCUCUCUCUCUCUACUCGUUCACAUAUAUUAAACACAUAUGCACCCCCUCUUUCCCCCAUCCCUUUCUUUACCCCUUACCCCUUGCCCCAUUUGGUUCUCGCAAAUACGAAGAGGGGGUUGAAACACGCUAAGGCGCUGACUUUGGUCAGCAGAACGUGCUGGGUGUCCAGUAGAAAUCCUCCUAGUGGUGGGAGCUUUUAAAGGGAGAAGGGGGUUGGAAGAAGAAUGGAGGGGAAAACGGUGGUUCGUAGUGGAGAAAUCCGACAGUGUCACUUCCGUGGUUGUUCCGUACGAUACGUUGAUUAUUAUUUAUCCAACGUUCUCGUCUAAAACUCUCGUCAUGAUUAAAUCGUCGCUUUGUUAAGGGUGGAAUCGUAGUAAAGGUCGAAGAAAAAAGGGCCUGGACCAUGUCAGGGCGAGGGGCGGAGUGGUGACCUAAAACUCAUCCCUCUGCGUCGAGACCAUCGAUGCUUACGCUACGGCUGGUGUCGACUCAUUUCUUGAAGCAGCCAUAGGCAGUGCCCUUUGCCUAAGAGAAAGGGCUCUAAAUGCGAUGUGCCGUGAUAGAGACAUGAACUCAGAGCUAAUCGAGUCAUACGAACUCUUGUUAACGUCGUCUUCUUGCUUCUACUCUCGUUGAAUGUCGCGUCGUAAUAAUCAUAAUAAUAAUAAUAAUAAUAAUAA
Polistes canadensis is the source of this 1106-nucleotide long non-coding RNA. RefSeq lists it as uncharacterized. The record is from RefSeq and is a predicted model, not a curated record. NCBI's taxonomy places the organism in Eukaryota, Metazoa, Arthropoda, Insecta, Hymenoptera, Vespidae. The transcript has 2 exons.